RNAcentral lists this ribosomal RNA (1404 nucleotides) under uncultured bacterium. Its description in RNAcentral is "16S ribosomal RNA". It matches the Rfam family "Bacterial small subunit ribosomal RNA". The record is from RNAcentral.
AGAGUUUGAUCCUGGCUCAGGAUGAAUUCUAGCGACAGGCUUAACACAUGCAAGUCGAGGGGCAGCGAGGGGAGUAGCAAUACUCCCGCCGGCGACCGGCGCACGGGUGAGUAACACGUAUGAAACCUGCCCGUAGCAGGGGGAUAAGCGGAAGAAAUUCCGUCUAAUACCGCGUAACAACCCUUGGAGGCAUCUCCUCGGGUUUAAAGGGAGCGAUUCCGGCUACGGAUGGUCAUGCGUCGCAUUAGCUUGUUGGCGGGGUAACGGCCCACCAAGGCGACGAUGCGUAGGGGUUCUGAGAGGAAGGUCCCCCACACUGGUACUGAGACACGGACCAGACUCCUACGGGAGGCAGCAGUGAGGAAUAUUGGUCAAUGGCCGCAGGGCUGAACCAGCCAAGUCGCGUGAGGGAUGACGGUCCUAUGGAUUGUAAACCUCUUUUGUCAGGGAGCAUAGGGCGUCACGUGUGGCGUUUUGCGAGUACCUGAAGAAAAAGCAUCGGCUAACUCCGUGCCAGCAGCCGCGGUAAUACGGAGGAUGCGAGCGUUAUCCGGAUUUAUUGGGUUUAAAGGGUGCGCAGGCGGAAUGUCAAGUCAGCGGUAAAAUUUCGGGGCUCAACCCCGUCGUGCCGUUGAAACUGGCGUUCUUGAGUGAGCGAGAAGUAUGCGGAAUGCGUGGUGUAGCGGUGAAAUGCAUAGAUAUCACGCAGAACUCCGAUUGCGAAGGCAGCAUACCGGCGCUCAACUGACGCUCAUGCACGAAAGCGUGGGUAUCGAACAGGAUUAGAUACCCUGGUAGUCCACGCAGUAAACGAUGAAUACUAACUGUCCGGGCAGAAUGAUGUCUGGGUGGUACAGCGAAAGCGUUAAGUAUUCCACCUGGGGAGUACGCCGGCAACGGUGAAACUCAAAGGAAUUGACGGGGGCCCGCACAAGCGGAGGAACAUGUGGUUUAAUUCGAUGAUACGCGAGGAACCUUACCCGGGCUCAAACGACGGAUGGAUGUUUCUGAAAGGAGGCAGUCCUACGGGACAUCCGUCGAGGUGCUGCAUGGUUGUCGUCAGCUCGUGCCGUGAGGUGUCGGCUUAAGUGCCAUAACGAGCGCAACCCCCAUCGCCUGUUACCAGCAAGUAAAGUUGGGGACUCUGGCGAGACUGCCGGCGCAAGCUGUGAGGAAGGCGGGGAUGACGUCAAAUCAGCACGGCCCUUACGUCCGGGGCGACACACGUGUUACAAUGGCAGGUACAGAGAGAUGCGAUGUGGCGACGCAGAGCGGAACUUCAAAGCCUGUCUCAGUUCGGAUUGGAGUCUGCAACCCGACUCCAUGAAGCUGGAUUCGCUAGUAAUCGCGCAUCAGCCACGGCGCGGUGAAUACGUUCCCGGGCCUUGCACACACCGCCCGUCA